Molecule: ribosomal RNA, 253 nt
Filed under: uncultured bacterium
Lineage: Bacteria
Description: partial 16S ribosomal RNA
Rfam family: Bacterial small subunit ribosomal RNA
Source: RNAcentral
UACAGAGGUCCCGAGCGUUGCUCGGAUUCAUUGGGCGUAAAGGGUGCGUAGGCGGUCUUCUAAGUUUGAUGUGAAAUCCCGGGGCUCAACCCUGGAAUGGCAUUGAAUACUGGAGGACUAGAGUACCGGAGAGGAAACUGGAAUUUACGGUGUAGCAGUGAAAUGCGUAGAGAUCGUAAGGAAGACCAGUGGCGAAGGCGAGUUUCUGGACGGUAACUGACGCUGAGGCACGAAGGCCAGGGGAGCAAACGGG